Molecule: ribosomal RNA, 449 nt
Filed under: uncultured bacterium
Lineage: Bacteria
Description: bacterial SSU rRNA
Rfam family: Bacterial small subunit ribosomal RNA
Source: RNAcentral
UGGGGAAUAUUGCGCAAUGGGGGAAACCCUGACGCAGCGACGCCGCGUGUGGGAUGAAGGUCUUCGGAUUGUAAACCACUGUCGCGAGGGACGAAGCUCUGACGGUACCUCGAAAGGAAGCACCGGCUAACUCUGUGCCAGCAGCCGCGGUAAUACAGAGGGUGCGAGCGUUGUCCGGAAUCACUGGGCGUAAAGGGCGCGUAGGCGGCCCGGUAAGUAGGGGGUGAAAUCUCAUGGCUCAACUGUGAGGCUGCCUUCUAGACUGCCAGGCUUGAGCACAGUAGAGGCGAGUGGAAUUCCUGGUGUAGCGGUGAAAUGCGUAGAUAUCAGGAGGAACACCCGUGGCGAAGGCGGAUCUCUGGACCGGUUCUGACGCUGAGGAGCGAAAGCUAGGGGAGCAAACAGGAUUAGAUACCCGUGUAGUCCCUGAGCGGGCUGGCAAGGCGCAU